GACGAACGCUGGCGGCGUGCCUAAUACAUGCAAGUUGAGCGCUGAAGGUUGGUACUUGUACCAACUGGAUGAGCAGCGAACGGGUGAGUAACGCGUGGGGAAUCUGCCUUUGAGCGGGGGACAACAUUUGGAAACGAAUGCUAAUACCGCAUAAAAACUUUAAACACAAGUUUUAAGUUUGAAAGAUGCAAUUGCAUCACUCAAAGAUGAUCCCGCGUUGUAUUAGCUAGUUGGUGAGGUAAAGGCUCACCAAGGCGAUGAUACAUAGCCGACCUGAGAGGGUGAUCGGCCCCAUUGGGACUGAGACACGGCCCAAACUCCUACGGGAGGCAGCAGUAGGGAAUCUUCGGCAAUGGACGAAAGUCUGACCGAGCAACGCCGCGUGAGUGAAGAAGGUUGUCGGAUCGUAAAACUCUGUUGGUAGAGAAGAACGUUGGUGAGAGUGGAAAGCUCAUCAAGUGACGGUAACUACCCAGAAAGGGACGGCUAACUACGUG
Molecule: ribosomal RNA, 497 nt
Filed under: uncultured bacterium
Lineage: Bacteria
Description: partial 16S ribosomal RNA
Rfam family: Bacterial small subunit ribosomal RNA
Source: RNAcentral